UUUCAAAUUCCUUCUAUUAAGCAAACCAGACGGCACCAUUUUCUUAUUUUUUUACAUUUACGGAUAGCCAGGGACACACUCCCAACAUUCAGACAUAAUUUACGGAUAGCCAGGGGCACACUCCCAACAUUCAGACAUCAUUUACGGAUAGCCAGGGGCACACUCCCAACAUUCAGACAUCAUUUACGGAUAGCCAGGGGCACACUCCCAACAUUCAGACAUCAUUUACGGAUAGCCAGGGGCAGACUCCCAACAUUCAGACAUCAUUUACGGAUAGCCAGGGGCACACUCCCAACAUUCAGACAUCAUUUACGGAUAGCCAGGGGCACACUCCCAACAUUCAGACAUCAUUUACGGAUAGCCAGGGGCACACUCCCAACAUUCAGACAUCAUUUACGGAUAGCCAGGGGCACACUCCCAACAUUCAGACAUCAUUUACGGAUAGCCAGGGGCACACUCCCAACAUUCAGACAUCAUUUACGGAUAGCCAGGGGCACACUCCCAACAUUCAGACAUCAUUUACGGAUAGCCAGGGGCACACUCCCAACAUUCAGACAUCAUUUACGGAUAGCCAGGGGCACACUCCCAACAUUCAGACAUCAUUUACGGAUAGCCAGGGGCACACUCCCAACAUUCAGACAUCAUUUACGGAUAGCCAGGGGCACACUCCCAACAUUCAGACAUCAUUUACGGAUAGCCAGGGGCACACUCCCAACAUUCAGACAUCAUUUACGGAUAGCCAGGGGCACACUCCCAACAUUCAGACAUCAUUUACGGAUAGCCAGGGGCACACUCCCAACAUUCAGACAUCAUUUACGGAUAGCCAGGGGCACACUCCCAACAUUCAGACAUCAUUUACGGAUAGCCAGGGGCACACUCCCAACAUUCAGACAUCAUUUACGGAUAGCCAGGGGCACACUCCCAACAUUCAGACAUCAUUUACGGAUAGCCAGGGGCACACUCCCAACAUUCAGACAUCAUUUACGGAUAGCCAGGGGCACACUCCCAACAUUCAGACAUCAUUUACGGAUAGCCAGGGGCACACUCCCAACAUUCAGACAUCAUUUACGGAUAGCCAGGGGCACACUCCCAACAUUCAGACAUCAU
RNAcentral lists this long non-coding RNA (1107 nucleotides) under Oncorhynchus mykiss (rainbow trout). RNAcentral's name for it is "lncRNA (ENSOMYG00000075955.1)". Lineage: Eukaryota; Metazoa; Chordata; Actinopteri; Salmoniformes; Salmonidae. The record is from RNAcentral.